This 459-nucleotide ribosomal RNA is filed under the name uncultured bacterium. RNAcentral's name for it is "partial 16S ribosomal RNA". It matches the Rfam family "Bacterial small subunit ribosomal RNA", at positions 338 to 795 of the family's 1533-position model. The record is from RNAcentral.
CCUACGGGCGUCAGCAGUGAGGAAUAUUGGUCAAUGGGAGAGAUCCUGAACCAGCCAAGCCGCGUGAGGGAAGACGGCCCUAUGGGUUGUAAACCUCUUUUGUCGGGGAACAAAACCCGGGACGUGUCCCGGACUGCGUGUAUCCGAAGAAAAAGCAUCGGCUAACGCCGUGCCAGCAGCCGCGGUAAUUCGGAGGAUGCGAGCGUUAUCCGGAUUUAUUGGGUUUAAAGGGUGCGUUGGCGGUCUGUUACGUUAGCGGUAAAAUUGCGGGGCUAAACCCUGACGGGCCGUUGAAACUGGCAGACUUGAGUUGGCGAGAGGUACGCGGAAUGCGCGGUGUAGCGGUGAAAUGCAUAGAUAUCGCGCAGAACUCCGAUUGCGAAGGCAGCGUACCGGCGCCAGACUGACGCUGAGGCACGAAAGCGUGGGGAUCGAACAGGAUUAGAUACCCUAGUAGUC